ACGACCUUACUUGAACAGGAUCUGUUCUAUAGGCUCGUACCUCUGUAUCUUUGACUUCUAAAGAGACAGGAAACUAAGUUUGGUGGAUGAACCAUGGUGGAUGAACUAUAGGGGUGGGCAUUCGGGUCGGGUUAUUCGGGUAUAACCCGAUCCGGUCGGGUGGUAAUUUUUGACGUAACCGGGUUUUUCCCGGGUUCGGGUACCCGGUGCUCCCAAACC
Molecule: small nucleolar RNA, 219 nt
Filed under: Erythranthe guttata (spotted monkey flower)
Lineage: Eukaryota; Viridiplantae; Streptophyta; Magnoliopsida; Lamiales; Phrymaceae
Description: Mimulus guttatus (spotted monkey flower) Plant small nucleolar RNA U3
Rfam family: Plant small nucleolar RNA U3
About the family: Small nucleolar RNAs (snoRNAs) are involved in the processing and modification of rRNA in the nucleolus.
Source: Rfam by way of RNAcentral